This 251-nucleotide unclassified non-coding RNA is filed under the name Hevea brasiliensis (rubber tree). Lineage: Eukaryota; Viridiplantae; Streptophyta; Magnoliopsida; Malpighiales; Euphorbiaceae. The record is from RNAcentral.
AUAUAGUUAUUGGGUUCUUUGCAAAAAUAACAGUACAAGAAGCAAAAUCCAUGGAAAGAAACGAAGGAUUUGUUUCGGUCCAUCCAGAGAAGAUGUUGCAUCCUCUCACAACUCAUACUCCCACGUUCUCGGGUCUGCAACUGAUCAAUGAAGGAUUUUGGAACCAUUCCAAUUAUGGGAAAGGAGUGAUUAUAGGACUUCUUCAUCUGGAGGAAGAUUCACAGAUCGUGCUUCAACCGUGCACAUUUGCA